This 68-nucleotide transfer RNA is filed under the name Kelletia lischkei. RNAcentral's name for it is "tRNA-Ala". It matches the Rfam family "tRNA". From Rfam's summary of the family: Transfer RNA (tRNA) molecules are approximately 80 nucleotides in length. Their secondary structure includes four short double-helical elements and three loops (D, anti-codon, and T loops). The record is from RNAcentral. Lineage: Eukaryota; Metazoa; Mollusca; Gastropoda; Neogastropoda; Buccinidae.
GACUUGAUACUUUAAGGUAAAAGAUCUGAUUUGCAUUCAGACAAUAAGUUUUAUAAACUUUCAGGUCA